Mastomys coucha (southern multimammate mouse) is the source of this 436-nucleotide long non-coding RNA. RefSeq lists it as uncharacterized. The transcript has 3 exons. NCBI's taxonomy places the organism in Eukaryota, Metazoa, Chordata, Mammalia, Rodentia, Muridae. The record is from RefSeq and is a predicted model, not a curated record.
GAACCAUCAGAUAAGAAGAUAGGAGGCAACAAAAACAUUGGGAUAUGACCUGACAACCACAUGACUCUGUUGUAAGACAGUGAAGGAAAGGUGAAGAAAUCAGCAUGUAUGAAUCUUUCGGAAAAUGCAAAUCCUCAGUGCUGAUUUCAGAUUGGAAAACAAGAGCACUGCCAAUGUCAUGCCCCAAAGGAGAAACAUCCAAAAAACCCAACAAGGCGAGCCCAACACUUGUUAGAUAAAACUGGAGACACAAGGAGAACUUGCUUGUUGUGUUCCACAGAUAAAGCAUCAGAAAAUAGGAUGGGGCAAUCUGAACAGAAAGAGACGGAAACACCACAGCUGACAGGAGCCCUGUCCAAGUCUCCAUCCUAUUUUGGUGCCUCAGUGUUAUCUGCACAUUUCUGUUGAGUGAACAAAUAAAGGAACUAGUACCCGA